This 1016-nucleotide ribosomal RNA is filed under the name uncultured bacterium. RNAcentral describes it as "bacterial SSU rRNA". It matches the Rfam family "Bacterial small subunit ribosomal RNA", at positions 357 to 1376 of the family's 1533-position model. The record is from RNAcentral.
AGGAAUAUUGGUCAAUGGGCGAGAGCCUGAACCAGCCAAGUAGCGUGAAGGAUGACUGCCCUAUGGGUUGUAAACUUCUUUUAUAAAGGAAUAAAGUCGGGUAUGUAUACCCGUUUGCAUGUACUUUAUGAAUAAGGAUCGGCUAACUCCGUGCCAGCAGCCGCGGUAAUACGGAGGAUCCGAGCGUUAUCCGGAUUUAUUGGGUUUAAAGGGAGCGUAGAUGGAUGUUUAAGUCAGUUGUGAAAGUUUGCGGCUCAACCGUAAAAUUGCAGUUGAUACUGGAUAUCUUGAGUGCAGUUGAGGCAGGCGGAAUUCGUGGUGUAGCGGUGAAAUGCUUAGAUAUCACGAAGAACUCCGAUUGCGAAGGCAGCCUGCUAAGCUGCAACUGACAUUGAGGCUCGAAAGUGUGGGUAUCAAACAGGAUUAGAUACCCUGGUAGUCCACACGGUAAACGAUGAAUACUCGCUGUUUGCGAUAUACUGCAAGCGGCCAAGCGAAAGCGUUAAGUAUUCCACCUGGGGAGUACGCCGGCAACGGUGAAACUCAAAGGAAUUGACGGGGGCCCGCACAAGCGGAGGAACAUGUGGUUUAAUUCGAUGAUACGCGAGGAACCUUACCCGGGCUUAAAUUGCAGAUGAAUUACGGUGAAAGCCGUAAGCCGCAAGGCAUCUGUGAAGGUGCUGCAUGGUUGUCGUCAGCUCGUGCCGUGAGGUGUCGGCUUAAGUGCCAUAACGAGCGCAACCCUUGUUGUCAGUUACUAACAGGUUCCGCUGAGGACUCUGGACAGACUGCCAUUGUAAGAUGUGAGGAAGGUGGGGAUGACGUCAAAUCAGCACGGCCCUUACGUCCGGGGCUACACACGUGUUACAAUGGGGGGUACAGAGGGCCGCUACCACGCGAGUGGAUGCCAAUCCCGAAAACCUCUCUCAGUUCGGACUGGAGUCUGCAACCCGACUCCACGAAGCUGGAUUCGCUAGUAAUCGCGCAUCAGCCACGGCGCGGUGAAUACGUUCCCG